This is a long non-coding RNA of Prunus dulcis (almond), 1649 nucleotides long. RefSeq lists it as uncharacterized. Lineage: Eukaryota; Viridiplantae; Streptophyta; Magnoliopsida; Rosales; Rosaceae. The record is from RefSeq and is a predicted model, not a curated record. The transcript is spliced from 5 exons.
GGGAGCAAUAGAGAUUUUAGCCUGUAAAAGUAGUGUGUAAUUGUUAAGAAUCUGGUUUGGCCUAAGUUGGAUGAGUAGUUGGAAAUCCUGACUGAAUCAGACUUAGGGAAUAUACAGACACAGAAACACAUAGUCGGGCCUUGCUUGUUGUCAUAGACUAUGAAGCCGCAAUUCACCUUUGGAAGGUUGACAAGUUUGACUUUGUUGUCUGCAUAAGUGCCUAUAUCGACGUCGUUUUUGGCAGCACUGAAAUUGGACUAGUCUUAGCGGUUGCAAUAUCUGUGAUCAGGGUACUUUUGUUUGUGGCAAGGCCAAGCACUUGUGUUCAAGGAAACCUUCCGAAUUCCAUGGUUUGCAGAAAUGUUGAGCAGUAUCCCAAUGCAAGCAAUGUUCCUGGAAUUCUCAUACUUGAGAUUGAUGCUCCCAUUUACUUUGCAAAUACCAACUACUUAAGAGAAAGGCACACAUGUUGGAGAGGACUUGAUGAAGGCACCGUUGUAGUUGGGACUUGCAUGAUUUAAAAGCUACAAUGGCUGGUUGCAUGUCAACCCCAUCCAAAACAAUUAAAUCACGGAAAAUACACUGUCAGCGGGUCAUCAAACGCCAUAAAAAGGCAACCUGCUCUGCUUCAGAUAGUACCAAGAAAAGAAAUACCAGUUUCAAGAAAAUAAAUAGCGAUGCAGGAGAUUGCAUGAGUGACUAUGCUGUCAGUGAGUUUGUUCAUGUGGACUUUGAGAAUGGUGCAACAACUACUCACAGAAGAUCUAAGGUUCCUAAUUCUACAUUCCAUCUCACCCAGCUGCAAUGGCACCACAGUCAAUAUGAUUUGAAUGGUGUUUGCUUUCUUUCAUCAGAUUUCAACUAUCUUUCAAUUUCAACCAAUAGUGCUGACAAGAAAAUUCGUAGCUCUUGAAUCCCAUAUUUUGAAAGUUAUUCAUUUGUAGUAAUUUGCCAAGAGGAAGCUGACUCAGUGAGUAUUCAGGAGUCUGACAACUUUAUCAGUAUACAUGGAGAUGGUUUUCCAUUAGCAAGCAAUCCAAUUGGGAAUAUCUCAAGUGGCCAAGUACUUCAGUAUGAAAGAUCUGCUCGCUUUGUUGAUAAUGGGUGUAAGUAUGAAGAAUACCAAAGCUAUAUGAAAAUAGAUGGAGGUAAAUCAGAUAAAAUCAUAGGCAAAGAUGAGUGCAGGGAAUCAAAUCGGUCGCUUAUUAGUACCCAGGGCUAUGAGCUUUCUCGCUUAGGAAGGCUGAUGAAGUUUGCAGUAAGAGGAAGAAUAUAUUAGAUCACUCUUAUGGAAGCUUUAAAGGACUUAGAGAGGAUGGACGUGAUUCUAAUGAAAAAAUUCAAGACAAUGCCCUGAAAUCCGGGUUAUCUCGAUUGGUACCUUCUGUAAGUUUCAACGAUAAGAUUCUAGGUGCACAGAGUUUGGUUCCACAGUCCCAGAGAAAGCCAUCAGCAGUGUUUAGGCUUUCUUUUAAAAGGAGAUCCUGUGAUGCAGAAGAAACCAUUGAACAAUGUCAAUCAAAAAGGUUUCUGUAUCGGCCUAGACCAGGAUAUAUGAUUCCAUGUUGUAGAGUAGAGAAGCCGACUUCAGGAUCUUGGUCUGAGAUUCCACCCUCAACUUUUAAACUCCGUGGCCAGAACUAUUUCAA